ACUACGGGAGGCAGCAGUGGGGAAUAUUGGGCAAUGGGCGCAAGCCUGACCCAGCAACGCCGCGUGAAGGAAGAAGGCUUUCGGGUUGUAAACUUCUUUUCUCAGGGACGAAGAAAGUGACGGUACCUGAGGAAUAAGCCACGGCUAACUACGUGCCAGCAGCCGCGGUAAUACGUAGGUGGCAAGCGUUAUCCGGAUUUACUGGGUGUAAAGGGCGUGUAGGCGGGAAAGCAAGUCAGAUGUGAAAACCACGGGCUCAACCUGUGGCCUGCAUUUGAAACUGUUUUUCUUGAGUACUGGAGAGGCAGACGGAAUUCCUAGUGUAGCGGUGAAAUGCGUAGAUAUUAGGAGGAACACCAGUGGCGAAGGCGGUCUGCUGGACAGCAACUGACGCUGAGGCGCGAAAGCGUGGGGAGCAAACAGGAUUAGAUACCCGAGUAGUC
This 443-nucleotide ribosomal RNA is filed under the name uncultured bacterium. RNAcentral's name for it is "partial 16S ribosomal RNA". It matches the Rfam family "Bacterial small subunit ribosomal RNA", at positions 338 to 795 of the family's 1533-position model. The record is from RNAcentral.